AACGAACGCUGGCGGCGUGCUUAAUACAUGCAAGUCGAACGAGAAAAUCCGGCUUCGGUCGGGUGAGUAAAGUGGCGAACGGGUGAGUAACACGUGGAUAAUCUGCCCUUGAAUCCGGGAUAAUCCUUCGAAAGGGGGUCUAAUACCGGAUAACAUCUUGAAGGGGCAUCUCUUUAAGAUCACAGGCGGGGCAACCUGCCGUUCAGGGAUGAGUCCGCGUUUCAUUAGCUAGUUGGUGAGGUAACAGCCCACCAAGGCUACGAUGAAUAGCCGGCCUGAGAGGGUGAUCGGCCACACUGGGACUGAGAUACGGCCCAGACUCCUACGGGAGGCAG
Molecule: ribosomal RNA, 335 nt
Filed under: uncultured bacterium
Lineage: Bacteria
Description: bacterial SSU rRNA
Rfam family: Bacterial small subunit ribosomal RNA
Source: RNAcentral